UACGUAGGGGGGCAAGCGUUUGUCCGGAUUUAUUGGGCGUAAAGAGCGUGUAGGCGGCCAUACAGGUCCGUUGUGAAAACUCGAGGCUUAACCUCGAGACGUCGAUGGAAACCGUAUGGCUAGAGUCCGGAAGAGGAGAGUGGAAUUCCUGGUGUAGCGGUGAAAUGCGCAGAUAUCAGGAAGAACACCCGUGGCGAAGGCGGCUCUCUGGGACGGUACUGACGCUGAGACGCGAAAGCGUGGGGAGGCGAACAGG
RNAcentral lists this ribosomal RNA (256 nucleotides) under uncultured bacterium. RNAcentral describes it as "partial 16S ribosomal RNA". It matches the Rfam family "Bacterial small subunit ribosomal RNA", at positions 524 to 776 of the family's 1533-position model. The record is from RNAcentral.